CAUAGAAACAGGAGAGGGAAAUUGUCACACCACUACUAGAUAUUAAAAGCCAUUCUAAACAAAUAAGUUUUGAGUUCGGAUCUAAAAAGAGCUACAUCUGUAAUAGUGCGAAUAUCAGGGGGUAACUUGUUCCAGAGUCUCGGGGCAGCAACCGCAAAAGCCUGACCACCCCACCGUUUAUACCUUGACCUUGGGACUUCUAAAACCAGUUGAUUUGAAGACCGCAAGGACGGGUUGUGCUCACGCAGGGUUAAAAUCUCGGACAAAUAACUUAUAAAAAACAAACUU
Molecule: long non-coding RNA, 288 nt
Organism: Sander lucioperca (pikeperch)
Lineage: Eukaryota; Metazoa; Chordata; Actinopteri; Perciformes; Percidae
Exons: 3
Source: RefSeq, a predicted model, not a curated record